RNAcentral lists this ribosomal RNA (303 nucleotides) under uncultured bacterium. Its description in RNAcentral is "partial 16S ribosomal RNA". It matches the Rfam family "Bacterial small subunit ribosomal RNA", at positions 507 to 807 of the family's 1533-position model. The record is from RNAcentral.
AGCAGUAGCCGCGGGAAUACGUAGGGCGCAAGCGUUGUCCGGAAUUAUUGGGCGUAAAGAGCUCGUAGGCGGUCUGUCGCGUCUGGUGUGAAAUCCCGAGGCUCAACCUCGGGCUUGCAUCGGGUACGGGCAGACUAGAGUGCGGUAGGGGAGACUGGAAUUCCUGGUGUAGCGGUGGAAUGCGCAGAUAUCAGGAGGAACACCGAUGGCGAAGGCAGGUCUCUGGGCCGCAACUGACGCUGAGGAGCGAAAGCAUGGGGAGCGAACAGGAUUAGAUACCCCGGUAGUCCCUGUCUCUUAUAC